This 557-nucleotide ribosomal RNA is filed under the name uncultured freshwater bacterium. RNAcentral's name for it is "bacterial SSU rRNA". It matches the Rfam family "Bacterial small subunit ribosomal RNA", at positions 8 to 607 of the family's 1533-position model. The record is from RNAcentral.
AGAGUUUGAUCCUGGCUCAGAACGAACGCUGGCGGCAGGCUUAACACAUGCAAGUCGAACGGACGACUGCAAUAACUUAGUGGCAUACGGGUGAGGAACACGUGGGAACAUUCCUUUCUAUUCGGAAUAACUCAGGGAAACUUGAGCUAAUACCGGAUACGUCCAUCGGGAGAAAGAUUUAUCGCUGAAAGAUUGGCCCGCGACUGAUUAGCUAGUUGGUGAGGUAAUGGCUCACCAAGGCUACGAUCAGUAGCUGAUCUGAGAGGAUGAUCAAUCACAUUGGGACUGAGACACGGCCCAAACUCCUACGGGAGGCAGCAGUGGGGAAUAUUGGACAAUGGGCGCAAGCCUGAUCCAGCCAUGCCGCGUGAGUGAUGAAGGCCUUCGGGUUGUAAAGCUAUUUUGUCCGGAUAAGAUAAUGACUGUACCGGAAGAUUAAGCCCCGGCAAACUUCGUGCCAGCAGCCGCGGAAAUACGAAGGGGGCUAGCGUUGUUCGGAUUUACUGGGCGUAAAGCGCACGUAGGCGGCCUGUUAAGUCAGAGGUGAAAGCCUGGAG